CAGGGAGACAAACAACGAUUUUGAUGCCUGAGUAUUUUUAUUCUUAGGCCGAAAUCCUGUCACCUUAGGUCGAUCGGUACCUCAGCAUUGAGAGCAAAGAUCAAUGAGAGAUCAUUGUGAGAUUGCAGGAGAUGUUCAGUUCCUAAACUUUGUCUAGGUCACACCCCACAAGGGUUGAGUCUCCUGGGCCAUUAGCUCAGGUGGUUAGAGCGCACCCCUGAUAAGGGUGAGGUCCCUGGUUCAAGUCCAGGAUGGCCCAUUCGGUGUUGGGGGUUUAGCUCAGUUGGUAGAGCGCCUGCUUUGCAAGCAGGAUGUCAGGAGUUCGAGUCUCCUAACCUCCACUGACCGAACUCAAUCUCCUUCUUCCAGAAUUGGGAGAUGAACUCGAGUGUUAUGGAGUGUGAUUUUAGAUGUGUCCGCUGGAUGUGAACCCAGCUUCCUGUCAUUCCAAGUUUUGGCUUUUUAGCUUUGAAUUUGGUUGAUAAGAUGCUGGGCUCAGAUCAGAUAAUCAAGCAAUUGAUGAUUUGAUUUGAAGUUCUAGCAGAACCUUGACAACUGCAUAGGUAAGUCUGGAAAAAACAAAGCAUCUCAUGGAUGCAUUGUUUUGAGUUCAACCUCUCGAAAGGGAGAUUGAAUCCAGAGCAAUGAAAAUUCUUUUGAGCAAGAGCCGAGACUCUUGAACGUUCUUUGAUUCGUGUCGAGCGAAUCAGAGUUUGAUUUUUGUUUUUUAGUUGAGUGAAAGCUGAUUAAAAAAACAUAAGAUCUGCUUCACGGCGGUAGCGGUUUAGAGUGAAUUG
This 797-nucleotide transfer RNA is filed under the name uncultured Synechococcus sp. Its description in RNAcentral is "16S-23S ribosomal RNA intergenic spacer". The stretch from base 269 to 341 matches the Rfam family "tRNA". Lineage: Bacteria; Bacillati; Cyanobacteriota; Cyanophyceae; Synechococcales; Synechococcaceae. The record is from RNAcentral.